CAGAGCCCUGGGGCUUCUCAGAGGAAAUCUGUGAGGUGGAGUGAAAAGCCAGCGGUCCUUUCUACAAUAUCAGACUCUGCAUUAUGCCUGCAUACCAAGAAGACAGAGAGGAAGACACAUGUACUAUUGGGGAGGGAGAAAAGAACAUUGCUACUCAACGAAUCAAGGGAUUUGGUGGGGAGAACCCAGUCCUUCCUGAAAGCCCUCCCGCAUCCAUGUCUUCAGUGAUGAAGAACAACCCGUUGUAUGGUGACGUGAGUUUGGAAGAAGCCAUGGAAGAACGGAAAAAGAAUCCUUCAUGGACCAUUGAGGAAUACAACAAGCACUCUGUGCAUUCCAAU
This 341-nucleotide long non-coding RNA is filed under the name Rattus norvegicus (Norway rat). RNAcentral's name for it is "long non-coding RNA NONRATT013463". The record is from RNAcentral. Lineage: Eukaryota; Metazoa; Chordata; Mammalia; Rodentia; Muridae.